Molecule: ribosomal RNA, 375 nt
Filed under: Trametes versicolor
Lineage: Eukaryota; Fungi; Basidiomycota; Agaricomycetes; Polyporales; Polyporaceae
Description: partial large subunit ribosomal RNA
Rfam family: Eukaryotic large subunit ribosomal RNA
Source: RNAcentral
UUGACACGGACUACCAAUGCUUUGUGAUGCGCUCUCAAAGAGUCGCGUUGUUUGGGAAUGCAGCGCAAAAUGGGAGGUGAAUUCCUUCUAAAGCUAAAUAUUGGCGAGAGACCGAUAGCGAACAAGUACCGUGAGGGAAAGAUGAAAAGCACUUUGGAAAGAGAGUUAAACAGUACGUGAAAUUGCUAAAAGGGAAACGCUUGAAGUCAGUCGCGUCGUCCGGAACUCAGCUUUGCUUCGGCUUAGUGCACUUUCCGGUUGACGGGCCAGCAUCGAUUUUGACCGCUGGAAAAGGGCUGGAGGAAUGUGGCACCUUCGGGUGUGUUAUAGCCUUCAGUCGCAUACAGCGGUUGGGAUCGAGGAACGCGGAUGCUG